Molecule: ribosomal RNA, 210 nt
Filed under: uncultured eukaryote
Lineage: Eukaryota
Description: partial 18S ribosomal RNA
Rfam family: Eukaryotic small subunit ribosomal RNA
Source: RNAcentral
UUAAAGUUGUUGCAGUUAAAAAGCUCGUAGUUGAACCUUGGGCCUGGCUGGCCGGUCCGCCUCACCGCGUGCACUGGUCCGGCCGGGUCUUUCCUUCUGGGGAGCCGCAUGCCCUUCACUGGGUGUGUCGGGGAACCAGGACUUUUACUUUGAAAAAAUUAGAGUGUUCAAAGCAGGCCUAUGCUCGAAUACAUUAGCAUGGAAUAAUAG